CCUACGGGAGGCAGCAGUGGGGAAUAUUGGACAAUGGGCGCAAGCCUGAUCCAGCCAUGCCGCGUGUGUGAUGAAGGCCUUAGGGUUGUAAAGCACUUUCACCGGAGAAGAUAAUGACGGUAUCCGGAGAAGAAGCCCCGGCUAACUUCGUGCCAGCAGCCGCGGUAAUACGAAGGGGGCUAGCGUUGUUCGGAAUUACUGGGCGUAAAGCGCACGUAGGCGGAUCGAUCAGUCAGGGGUGAAAUCCCAGAGCUCAACUCUGGAACUGCCUUUGAUACUGUCGAUCUAGAGUAUGGAAGAGGUGAGUGGAAUUCCGAGUGUAGAGGUGAAAUUCGUAGAUAUUCGGAGGAACACCAGUGGCGAAGGCGGCUCACUGGUCCAUUACUGACGCUGAGGUGCG
RNAcentral lists this ribosomal RNA (400 nucleotides) under uncultured bacterium. RNAcentral describes it as "bacterial SSU rRNA". It matches the Rfam family "Bacterial small subunit ribosomal RNA", at positions 338 to 755 of the family's 1533-position model. The record is from RNAcentral.